GCUGGCGGCGUGCCUAAUGCAUGCAAGUCGCACGCACGGAGCUUGCUCCGUGAGUGGCGCACGGCUGAGGAUCACGUGGGAACAUGCCUCCGGGUGGGGGACAACAGCGCGAAAGCGCUGCUAAUCCCGCAUACGCUCGUCGCACGACGAGGAAAGCGGCAACGCGCCGGGAGAGUGGCCCGCGGCCCAUCAGGUCGUAGGUGGGGUAACGGCCUACCUAGCCGAUGACGGGUAGCUGGUCUGUGAGGACAGACAGCCAGACUGGGACUGAGACACGGCCCAGACUCCUACGGGAGGCAGCAGCAAGGAAUUUUCGUCAAUGGGCGCAAGCCUGAACGAGCAACGCCGCGUGGAGGAUGACGGCCUUCGGGUUGUAAACUCCUUUUUCGGGGGACGAUGAUGACGGUACCCCGGGAAUAAGGCUCGGCUAACUCUGUGCCAGCAGCCGCGGUAAUACAGAGGAGCCAAGCGUUGUCCGGAUUGACUGGGCGUAAAGCGCACGCAGGCGGCAUCGCGCGUGGGGUGUGAAAUCUGGCCGCUUAACGGCCA
RNAcentral lists this ribosomal RNA (549 nucleotides) under uncultured soil bacterium. RNAcentral's name for it is "bacterial SSU rRNA". It matches the Rfam family "Bacterial small subunit ribosomal RNA", at positions 35 to 618 of the family's 1533-position model. The record is from RNAcentral.